RNAcentral lists this long non-coding RNA (253 nucleotides) under Populus trichocarpa (black cottonwood). RNAcentral describes it as "long non-coding RNA (PTRI_LNC002256)". Lineage: Eukaryota; Viridiplantae; Streptophyta; Magnoliopsida; Malpighiales; Salicaceae. The record is from RNAcentral.
UGGUUUAGUUAUUUUUUUUUAUAAAAACCAAACCGAACCGAAAAUAAUCACCCCUAACUUUACCUACUAUUACUCCACUUAAAAAGUAGAAAUUUAUAGUUGUUAUACCAUUUUUAUUCCAAUAUAUUAUCUAUAAUUUUAAAAAUUACGUUACUUUUAAUUUAUACUCAUUCAUACAUCAAUCAACCAUCUUCCACCUCUUAUCAAAAAAAAAAUCAUCCUCCCAAAAUUGGCAAAGCAAAACCAAAAAAAA